UACAGAGGUCUCAAGCGUUGUUCGGAUUCAUUGGGCGUAAAGGGUGCGUAGGCGGCGCGGUAAGUCGGGUGUGAAAUCUCGGAGCUUAACUCCGAAACUGCAUUCGAUACUGGCGUGCUUGAGGACUGGAGAGGAGACUGGAAUUUACGGUGUAGCGGUGAAAUGCGUAGAUAUCGUAAGGAAGACCAGUGGCGAAGGCGGGUCUCUGGACAGUUCCUGACGCUGAGGCACGAAGGUCAGGGGAGCAAACGGG
This 253-nucleotide ribosomal RNA is filed under the name uncultured bacterium. RNAcentral's name for it is "partial 16S ribosomal RNA". It matches the Rfam family "Bacterial small subunit ribosomal RNA", at positions 524 to 776 of the family's 1533-position model. The record is from RNAcentral.